AGGAAUGCAAGCUUCAAAGAAUAAAAAUACAGAAGAGGCAGAACCAUUCUACAGGCUUUCAGUGCCAAAGCAGAAGACCAGUUCUGAGAUUAUAAAUGAAGCCAGAAAUGUUCUACGAACAGUAAGAACUCGGAGACCGUUUACACCUACAGAGGAUCAAAGGAAACUUUUUGGAUCUGGAUCCUUAGGAGCUCCUCAAAAUAGACCCCCUUCAGUUUUUAGUCUUCAUGCAUCCAGUUUUGAUUUGGCUGAAUCAAGACCAGUGUCUGGUGUUCGUCUUAGCCCACUGGAUCAUCCUCCUGCCGAUCCUACAGAGGUUAGAAAAGUCAGCAGUGCUCGGGCACGCUUAUUUAGAAGAACUUCUCAGGGAAAUUUCCUUUCUGCUAAAACGGUUCCUCCUGAUC
Fulmarus glacialis (Northern fulmar) is the source of this 404-nucleotide long non-coding RNA. RefSeq lists it as uncharacterized. NCBI's taxonomy places the organism in Eukaryota, Metazoa, Chordata, Aves, Procellariiformes, Procellariidae. The record is from RefSeq and is a predicted model, not a curated record. The transcript has 3 exons.